GCUAAAGCUAUUAGCUGCUCUAAAAUAUAAAUAAUUAAUACAAAUCCUAAAAAUAUUCCUAAAUUUAAAACAUUCUUAUAUUCAGUAAAGGUGAUUAAAUUUUAAUUAAUUUGUAUAUAAAAAGUACUGUAAAGGAACAACAAUAUAAAUAAUAUUAUAGCAAAGAUUUAAACUUGUACCUUUUGUAUCAUGGCUUAACUAGAAUUAAAUUUUAAUAAAAAUUUCUAGAAAACUAAUGAGCGAUCUUAUUUUCCCUAUUAGAGGUAAUAAAUAAAUGUAGCAAAAUUUUUUUAAAAAAUUAAGAUAGAAAUGACAUUUUAUUCGCAUUAGUUGAUAGCUAGUUUUUCUCAAAAGGCAUAGAAGUGCUCUUGAUUUUUUUGUAGUAAAAUAAAAUAAAAUUAUACUAAAAAUAAAUCAAAUUAAGUUUCUGAGGAUCAGCUCGGAGACUACUAAAUCAAUACAUUAAUCUAAUUUUAAAUAUAGGCUUGAAAAUAGCUCUUAUACUAGAAUUUGUUACAAUUCAUUAAUAAUUUAAAGAUAAAAUCAAUUUGUUUUAUAAAAGAGAAAAAUCUUUAUAAACUACAAUUAAAAUAUUUUUAUGUUAAGAUGAGUAUUCUAUACACUAAUAAUUCUUAUAUUGAAAUAAUUAAGAAAAAUAUCUAAAUUAAAUAAAUUAAAUUUCUAAAAGGAACUCGGCAAACAAUUGCUCUGCCUGUUUAUCAAAAACAUGGCUCUAUGUUAUAAAAAUAUAUAGAGUCGGACCUGCCCAGUGAUAUAUUUCAACGGCCGCAGUACUCUGACUGUGCAAAGGUAGCAUAAUAAUUUGCCCUAUAAUUGAGGGCUAGUAUGAAUGGUUUGACAAGAGCAAUACUGUCUCUCAGAAAAUAAUUAGAACUUGAUUUUUAGGUGAAGAAGCCUAAAUAUAAUUGAUAGACAAGAAGACCCUAUCGAGCUUUAAAAGAAUAUAUAGAAUAACAUGAUUAUAAAUAAUACAUGCUACUAUAUCUUAUUUUGGUUGGGGCAACUGUGGAACAAACAAAGCUUCCAAAAAAUAUCCAGACCUUCAAGUUAAGAUCCAAUUUUUUUGAUCUAAGGAAUUAGUUACCGUAGGGAUAACAGCAUUAUCUUUUUUGAGAGCUCAUAUUGAAAAAAAGGUUUGUGACCUCGAUGUUGGAUUAGAAUUUCCCAAAGAUGCAGAAGUCUUUAAAGGUUGGUCUGUUCGACCAUUAAAAUUCUACAUGAUCUGAGUUCAGACCGGCGUGAGCCAGGUCAGUUUCUAUCUUCAAUUAACUUAUUUAGAUUCAGUACGAAAGGAUCAAUCUAAAAUAAAAUUUAUAUUUAAAGAUAACAUAUAAUAAAAGAAAUUAAUAUUGUCAAAUUAGCAAAAUCAAUGCAAU
RNAcentral lists this ribosomal RNA (1397 nucleotides) under Varicospira cancellata. RNAcentral describes it as "16S ribosomal RNA". The stretch from base 615 to 1397 matches the Rfam family "Archaeal large subunit ribosomal RNA", at positions 1423 to 2825 of the family's 2987-position model. Lineage: Eukaryota; Metazoa; Mollusca; Gastropoda; Littorinimorpha; Rostellariidae. The record is from RNAcentral.